AUUGAACGCUGGCGGCAGGCCUAACACAUGCAAGUCGAGCGGAUGAAGGGUGCUUGCUCCUGGAUUCAGCGGCGGACGGGUGAGUAAUGCCUAGGAAUCUGCCUGGUAGUGGGGGAUAACGUCCGGAAACGGGCGCUAAUACCGCAUACGUCCUGAGGGAGAAAGUGGGGGAUCUUCGGACCUCACGCUAUCAGAUGAGCCUAGGUCGGAUUAGCUAGUUGGUGGGGUAAAGGCCUACCAAGGCGACGAUCCGUAACUGGUCUGAGAGGAUGAUCAGUCACACUGGAACUGAGACACGGUCCAGACUCCUACGGGAGGCAGCAGUGGGGAAUAUUGGACAAUGGGCGAAAGCCUGAUCCAGCCAUGCCGCGUGUGUGAAGAAGGUCUUCGGAUUGUAAAGCACUUUAAGUUGGGAGGAAGGGCAGUAAGUUAAAACCUUGCUGUUUUGACGUUACCAACAGAAUAAGCACCGGCUAACUUCGUG
Molecule: ribosomal RNA, 484 nt
Filed under: uncultured bacterium
Lineage: Bacteria
Description: partial 16S ribosomal RNA
Rfam family: Bacterial small subunit ribosomal RNA
Source: RNAcentral